RNAcentral lists this small nuclear RNA (75 nucleotides) under Zalophus californianus (California sea lion). RNAcentral describes it as "U2 spliceosomal RNA (ENSZCAG00015004387.1)". It matches the Rfam family "U2 spliceosomal RNA", at positions 1 to 120 of the family's 192-position model. Rfam says of the family: U2 is a small nuclear RNA (snRNA) component of the spliceosome (involved in pre-mRNA splicing). Complementary binding between U2 snRNA (in an area lying towards the 5' end but 3' to hairpin I) and the branchpoint sequence (BPS) of the intron results the bulging out of an unpaired adenosine, on the BPS, which initiates a nucleophilic attack at the intronic 5' splice site, thus starting the first of two transesterification reactions that mediate splicing. Lineage: Eukaryota; Metazoa; Chordata; Mammalia; Carnivora; Otariidae. The record is from RNAcentral.
AUCACUUCUCGGCCUUUUGGCUAAGAUCAAGUGUAGUAUGAAUUCUGUGUUUUUCUUUUUGGACGGUUUCUUUUU